CUCACCUCUCAACAAGAUGCACCCAGAGCCUAUCAGGAUGUCUGAAGCAAUCAAGAUAUUAAUACCUUAGCAUCCAUUGCCAUAAGAACAUGUCAUUCCUUCGUCCAAGAUUUAUGCUACGUAAUAGGGAUGCAAUGAUGGAAAAAAAGAACACAACAGCAAUGAUAAAACCUACAUAAUACAAAAUUGUACUUUUUUGUAGAAAUCAAUAGUCUACAACAAACAGAUAUCACCAAAACACUAUAGCUCCAUAUGCCUGCAAAGCUUUGCUGAUCCUCCCAGCAUUUAUUAUGUAUCUGAUUGUGUGGGUGGCCACCCUCAUAAGAGCAGUUGGGACAAAAAUGGUAAAUCUCGUCUUGGAAUUCAAAAGACACCAUAACAGAUGUUAUACAAAAGGAAUGAGAAUACAGAAGGAAGAAAAGAAGAGCUGUUAUGAACCUCUACAGAGAUAAGAUGAAAUGAGAAUGUGGACCAGAGUAUUUCUGUUCAUUGCAUCCCUCACUCCCAAUAACCAUGAGAAUGAUAGGGUGAGGAGGGGACAUCCUCUGGAUAUUUGAAGUGGGCUGGGAAGAAUGGUCUGGACCAUCACCUAUAUCUGAUCCAUCCAGAAAUCCAGGAGUUGGCAGUCUAAGGGUGAUUUUUGUUUCCAAAUGUGGAGCUAGGCAACUGUCUUCUACCACUGGAACAAAAAACCUAGAGAUUACAACCCUGAGAAGGAGGAUCCGCAGGGAUCUGGCCUGGAGAACACCAGAAAUAGGCUGUCGACAUGCUGUAAAAUGUUCUCUCGUGAUGCUGGGCAUCAACAGCGAGCAACAGCUCCCACUCAGCCCCACGAUCAUGAGGGCUGAAUUCCACACUAACACUGCUGGAGGAAUUAGAACACGUCGAAGCAUGAAAGGCUAGAAUGCAGACAUGGGAGCAACUCAACAUCAAACAUGCAGAUGAUGACAACUAACCCGUAGGGAAUAGUAGAACAACAAAAUGGCAGAAACCUGUGUCCUUAAGAGACUCCAUGGAUCAGAGCCACUCUGCUAACCUAGGCCAGCCCAAAUAAAACGUGUCUGAGAAAUAAACUUAUUUAACCUUCUGUA
Molecule: long non-coding RNA, 1091 nt
Filed under: Equus caballus (horse)
Lineage: Eukaryota; Metazoa; Chordata; Mammalia; Perissodactyla; Equidae
Description: lncRNA (ENSECAG00000033653.3)
Source: RNAcentral